This 468-nucleotide ribosomal RNA is filed under the name uncultured bacterium. RNAcentral describes it as "partial 16S ribosomal RNA". It matches the Rfam family "Bacterial small subunit ribosomal RNA", at positions 28 to 507 of the family's 1533-position model. The record is from RNAcentral.
GACGAACGCUGGCGGCGUGCUUAACACAUGCAAGUCGAACGGAAAGGCCCUGCUUUUGUGGGGUGCUCGAGUGGCGAACGGGUGAGUAACACGUGAGCAACCUGCCCUUGACUUUGGGAUAACUUCAGGAAACUGGGGCUAAUACCGGAUAGGAGCUCCUGCUGCAUGGUGGGGGUUGGAAAGUUUCGGCGGUUGGGGGUGGACUCGCGGCUUAUCAGCUUGUUGGUGGGGUAGUGGCUUACCAAGGCUUUGACGGGUAGCCGGCCUGAGAGGGUGACCGGCCACAUUGGGACUGAGAUACGGCCCAGACUCCUACGGGAGGCAGCAGUGGGGAAUAUUGCACAAUGGGCGGAAGCCUGAUGCAGCAACGCCGCGUGCGGGAUGACGGCCUUCGGGUUGUAAACCGCUUUCGCCUGUGACGAAGCGUGAGUGACGGUAAUGGGUAAAGAAGCACCGGCUAACUACGUG